UACGUAGGGUGCAAGCGUUGUCCGGAAUUAUUGGGCGUAAAGAGCUCGUAGGCGGCUUGUCGCGUCUGCUGUGAAAUCCCGAGGCUCAACCUCGGGUCUGCAGUGGGUACGGGCAGGCUAGAGUGCGGUAGGGGAGAUUGGAAUUCCUGGUGUAGCGGUGGAAUGCGCAGAUAUCGGGAGGAACACCGGUGGCGAAGGCGGUUCUCUGGGCCUUACCUGACGCUGAGGAGCGAAAGCGUGGGGAGCAAACAGG
This 253-nucleotide ribosomal RNA is filed under the name uncultured bacterium. RNAcentral describes it as "partial 16S ribosomal RNA". It matches the Rfam family "Bacterial small subunit ribosomal RNA", at positions 524 to 776 of the family's 1533-position model. The record is from RNAcentral.